This 432-nucleotide ribosomal RNA is filed under the name uncultured bacterium. RNAcentral's name for it is "partial 16S ribosomal RNA". It matches the Rfam family "Bacterial small subunit ribosomal RNA", at positions 29 to 507 of the family's 1533-position model. The record is from RNAcentral.
AACGAACGCUGGCGGCAUGCCUAACACAUGCAAGUCGAACGAGACCUUCGGGUCUAGUGGCGCACGGUGCGUAACGCGGGGGAACCUGCCCUUAGGGUCGGAAUAACCCCCCGAAAGGGGUGCUAAUACCGGAUAAUGUCUUCGGACCAAAGAUUUAUCGCCUUUGGAUGGGCCCGCGUUGGAUUAGCUAGUUGGUAGGGUAAAAGCCUACCAAGGCGACGAUCCAUAGCUGGUCUGAGAGGAUGAUCAGCCACACUGGGACUGAGACACGGCCCAGACUCCUACGGGAGGCAGCAGUGGGGAAUAUUGGACAAUGGGCGAAAGCCUGAUCCAGCAAUGCCGCGUGAGUGAUGAAGGCCUUAGGGUUGUAAAGCUCUUUUACCCGGGAUGAUAAUGACAGUACCGGGAGAAUAAGCUCCGGCUAACUCCGUG